UUGCUCUUUUCAUUUAGUUUAUUAAUGUAUGGAAUGCAAGUUCACUGUACAGCAAAGACACAGCACCAAGCAAUGGGGAGCAGCACAGAGCAAACAUGAUGUGAACUGAGUAGAGGAGGGCUAUACAGAUAGGGGUGAGCUCAGGGGUAUGGGAGGGUUCCGAGGUCAGCCAGAGGUCAUCCAAUCAGGGUUCGGCACAGGGCGAUGGUCUCGCCAACGCCUCUGAUUAAUCAUGGCUGGUUUGAUUACUUGUCCAAGUUGCCAGGUUACUUCAACAUGUAGAAUGAAGUUGCCCUUAGAUACUGAUCUAAGGUCAUGAUUAAGGUUAGGACUUGGGUAGGGUAAACUGAUGCUAGAUGCACCCAGACUGCACCGCAAGCUAUCUAGAGCUCAUUGAAACUCUCUAGUGUACAGUAGUAACAUUGCCACUUAUUUGAAACCAAUUUAACCCUCAGAAUACUGUACAAAGGAAUGCAUGGCUGUUGACAUUGGUUUCGCCACUCCUAACCCCCCAACAUUGAUUUUGCCACUGCGAUUUGUAAAAGAUAUCGAACAUAAAUGCAAAAAUGGAGCUUGGCUGUCUAAUGCGAUUCAACAGUUACACCACACACCUGGUAACAGUUGAGUUAUGUGUCCCAAAGCCAACUUUAACUUGUCAUAAUCCUAACAUGGCACCUUCAGCUCAACCUAUGCCUUUUCGUCUAAAUGCAUUAACUCGGAGUAGCUUCGUUUUGUAAGAGGGUACCUAACAAGUAAUACUCUGACAGGACACAUACAUUAGUCUUACCAUAUCAUGUUUGUGACAUUCUUGUUGGCUUUCUGGCACAUAGUUCAUCUAAAGUAUGUCCUCGAUUACAAAACUGUUGGAAGUAGUUCCUUCAUACAAAUACAGAAGUGUCACUACUACCAAACAUUAUCACAGCACACUUUUCAUACAGUAGUAAACAUAGGCCAUGGUAUCCCUCAAACACUCAAAAUAUAACCAGACCAAAACACACCAAAAGCAAAUGAGGGAUUGAGAUACCAGGUAUCACUGGAACACUUUGCUUGAAGGAGGAUAAAUAAGGGCUUAUAUUUAUAAUGCCAUAUAGUCACCGCAAGAGGCCUGGUAAAUGUCCAUAUAAAACUUGAAUCCAUAUAACACACAGUAAGUCAUCCCUGAAAAUGGCAUAAACGCCACCAGGAUAAAAAUCAUUAGCAAUUGCUAAUGUCAUGAUAGUUGUUGUUAAAUGUGUAUGUAGAUGGAUGGAGAGCCUUAUGUAUGCCCCUUCAAGUGCAGUGAUAGCACUUUACAGCACUACUAUUAUUUAAUGGAGUCAACCAAAUGUGAACAUGUUGUGGGACCUCGGGAUUGGCAAACCCUCUGUUAUCAUGACUGGAUUUGUUGAGUUAUCUUUUUUCCCCCCCAUUCUGUAUUGAAAACACUGUAUGCUAAUAAUACCUUCCAUUUCCAUUUUCCUGUUACAGAGUUUAAUUUCCUGUAGAUGGAGUCUACAGUUAGAACAGACACAAUGCAGACUUUUUCAUUUCACUGACAUCUAGGCCGGGAUUCAAUCUGAGGCGCAUUGUGGAACUCAUGACAUUUCAAGGGAAUUUCCAAUUGAGCAGACAUUUUCAGCAGCUACAGUCAAUGCAUGCAGUCUCCUCGGGAACAUUGCCUUUAAAGAUGGAAUCCACAAUGGGGAGAAACAGCGCCACUGUCCGCCCCACAGCUGUUGUUAUUGUUUUUGUUUUGUUGACGAAGCAGAGGUGGGGAGCACUGGGGGAGCGUCGUGCAUCAAGAAAAACAAAUGCAGUACAUAUAGUAUGCCACUGUUCUAUCGUGUGUGCAGUGAUGUCAGAGGGGAAAAAUCGGUGUUGGUUGUUUGCAGUAACUUAUUUGUUGUGGCAGUUUCACCAUUAAGAAUUUUUGCUUUAAUGGGCGCAUUGUCAACAUCGCUCUAAAACGUGCCUCGGAUUGAAUCCCAGCCAUAGCCUAUGUUGGACAUUUACUGAUGUAUAGUUGAAGUCGGAAGUUUACAUACACCUUAGCCAAAUACAUUUUAACUCAAGUUUUUCACAAUUCCUGACAUUUAAUCCUAGUAAAAAUUCCCUGUCUUAGGUCAGUUAGGAUCACCACUUUAUUUUAAGAAUGUGAAAUGUCAGAAUAAUAGUAGAGAGAAUGAUUUAUUUCAGCUUUUAUUUCUUUCAUCACAUUCCCAGUGGGUCAGAAGUUUACAUACACUCAAUUAGUAUUUGGCAGCAUUGCCUUUAAAUUGUUUAACUUGGGUCAAACGUUUCGGGUAGCCCUCCAUAAGCUUCCCACAAUAAGUUGGGUGAAUUUUGGCCUAUUCCUCCUGACAGAGCUGAUGUAACUGAGUCAGGUUUGUAGGCCUCCUUGCUCGCACAUGCUUUUUCAGUUCUGCCCACAAUCUUUUUAUGGGAUUGAGGUCAGGGCUUUGUGAUGGCCACUCCAAUACCUUGACUUUGUUGUCCUUAAGCCAUUUUGCCACAACUUUGGAAGUAUUCUUGGGGUCAUUGUCCAUUUGGAAAACCCAAGCUUUAACUUCCUGACUGAUGUCUUGAGAUGUUGCUUCAAUAUAUCCACAUAAUUGUUCUUCCUCAUGAUGCCAUCAAUUUUGUGAAGUGCACCAGUCCCUCCUGCAGCAAAGCACCCCCACAACAUGAUGCUGCCACCCCCGUGCUUCACGGUUGGGAUGGUGUUCUUCAUCUUGCAAGGCUCCCCCUUUUUCCUCCAAACAUAACGAUGGUCAUUAUGGCCAAACAGUUCUAUUUCCCCAUGUGCAGUUGCAACCGUAGUCUGGCUUUUUUAUGGCAGUUUUGGAGCAGUGGCUUCUUCCUUGCUGAGCGGCCUUUAAGAUUAUGUUGAUAUAGGACUCGUUUUACUGUGGAUAUAUAUACUUUUGUACCUGUUUCCUCCAGCAUCUGCACAAGGUCCAUUGCUGUUGUUCUGGGAUUGAUUUGCACUUUUCGCACCAAAGUACGUUCAUCUCAGGAAGGAGACAGAACGCAUCUCCUUCCUGAGCGGUAUGACGGCUGUGUGGUCCCAUGGUGUUUAUACUUGCGUACUAUUGUUUGUACAGAUGAACGUGGUACCUUCAGGUAUUUGAAAUUGCUCCCAAGGAUGAACCAGACUUGUGGAGGUCUACAAUUUUUUCUGAGGUCUUGGCUGAUUUAUUUUGAUUUUCCCAUGAUGUCAAGCAAAGAGGCACUGAGUUUGAAGGUAGGCCUUGAAAUACAUCCACAGGUACACCUUCAAUUGACUCAAAUUAUGUCAAUUAGCCUAUCAGAAGCUUCUAAAGCCAUUAUUUUCUGGAAUUCUCCAAGCUGUUUAAAGGCACAGUCAACUUUGUCUAUGUAAACUUCUGACCCACAGGAAUUGUGAUACAGUGAAUUAUAAGUGAAAUAAUCUGUCUGUAAACAAAUGUUGGAAAAAUAUACAUGCAAAAUAUACAUGCAGAAAGUAGAUGUCCUAACCGACUUGCCAAAACUAUAGUUUGUUAACAAUACAUUUGUGGAGUGGUUGAAAAACAAGUUUUAAUGACUCCAAUCUAAGUGUAUGUAAACUUCCCACUUCAACUGUAGCUAGCUACUGUGCUAUUUCAUACUGCCUUAAGGUCUCUUCUACUUUGUAUAAUACUAUAACUUUGUAUCUAUACAGUAGGUAUUCUAGUGGUUUAAUUUAAUUUCAUAAUGAAUGUCUUUAUCACGCAAACAUUAUCUAAAAUACUCGUUUCAUUUAAAAGGUAGCUCAUUUGGCGUACUUAAUAAGGUUCUAAUGUGAAUCUCUUAAUAUUUCCUACUGUAGAUAGCCACAGUAUAACAGCAGAAAGUGACUGUAUCUCCAACGGUUGGAAGGGGACCUGACCUUGGAUCAUUUUAGAACAGCAACAUGCUCAGAAUUUGUACUUUCACAAUUUUUAUAAAUACCCAACAGGCACAUUCUAUAGAUCAGAGGUUCAUAACCACUCCAUUCAUAUACAUCCAAAUGUCUACACAGAUCAACUUCAAUAACAAGUAAACCAUCAUCAUAAUACAGUAACGUCAAUUGUGUUCUUAAAACAAAAAUGCUCUAUUGCAAGCGUUCAAGGUAGGGUCUGCCAAGAUGUCAGCCAAAUGGCCCAAUUAUGGGUAAAAGAAAAAGCAAGAUAUCUUGAGAAAGCCUACUUAUCCGAGAGAGUUUCAACAGCUCUUCUCCUCUGUUGUGUGAUGGUGAGGAUGCGCCAUUGCAGGAAGAAAAGUUCAACUUUGACCUUUCUGUGUUAGCUGUGGUGCCCCUUUCUCUACUCUGGCACAUUUGGCGUCGUCGAGUUAGUGCCCCCAAACCAGCGCCGCGAUUUACUGACCUCGCUGGUGCAGAGUAGCCUACUGUUCUCACAUCUCCUGCAAUCUGUGUAUCCUCUGGCAUUCCCAUAACCAUUCUCACUGUUACAGAAAUGGGCCAAAGCACAGUUAUGGACUUUGCUGGUUUAGCGAGUAUAUAAAACUAAGGGAAGGUUUUCCUGUUCAUGAAAACCUGCUUUACUGCAUGCAUGUCAACAGUACUGGACCUACAUCUAAUGGAUACAUAUACGUUUUUUUCUCUUGACAAACUACGUAGAUAUGUAAGCACACUCUAGAUUGAAUCAAGAUCCGCAUUAUAGCGCAAUUAAAAUAUAAAGGUAAUUUACAAUUGAGCCGACAUACUGUUUGCAGCGUUUACAGAUAAUGUAGUCUCAGCGAAUCUGAGAACAUUGCCUUUAAAUUUCAAUUGUGCUUUAGCGUCAAUUUUCUGCUGUCCAGAUUUAAUCUAGGCCUCAGUAGGCAUUAGAGUUGGAUCUGAGGUCUAGAAUGGUGGGUGGAAUUUACUUAGUAGGACUUCGGACCACAUUGUAGUCCUAUAGUCUGCCAGAUUAUCUCAUACUAAGUACCCCUGUAAUAAAAAUGUCCUGCACUUCAAGUGUGGCAUUGGUGUGGGAUGUGGCGGCAGUGAGACUCUACAGUGAUAUGAUGGUAUGAGCACAUCAAAGAGACAACAGCUCCUAAGAUUUAGAUCCACUUGACAUUCAGGCAAAAACCUUCCCAUUAAUUUCCUUAGAGGAUACUAUGCAGAGGCAAGCUGAGAACAGUUUGGUGGUCUAGAUAGGAUACAGCUUAAAUCAAAUUAAUCUGGCCCACCAGCUGGCUCUCUCUGUCGAACCGUCUGUUUUCCGAGCAUCUCAGAAAAGGACUUGACUGGAAGCCUAUGGCAGGAGCGGAGAAACAACCACUGGUUUUAAUUGGCUGAUCUCUCAGUCCAUCACCAUCUAGUGCAACCCUAGGAACCUCCCCCUAAGUGUGCUGCAUUCGGGGGCCAGUAUUGUUUUUGUGUUCGUGUGUAACAAAGCUAUGGCUAGCUGUUGGCAUGAACGGCGAUAUGUUCCUACUACCUGGGAGUUAUUUCCAUGGUGCACCAUAACAAAUACCUUUCCCCCUCGAUUUGGAACCACAUCUCAUAGUCGUGUGAUUUGCUCAGAAUUUGAAUUGAUAAUCAUGUCACUCAGUAAAUCUACACCCCUUCACAGUCCCACACUGUUGCCAGGCUCUAUGUUCCAGAAAUUCGAGCCUGGGGACAAGUUUUAUUAUGUGCAUUUUAGCCUAAUUCUCCUAACCUGCUACAUGAAUUAUCCUAACCUAUCUAGUCAAAACCCAGUUGUUUGGCUUGAGUGUUGAGACCAGUGCAGACAGGUGUACUAGGUAUAGACUGAAACUUUCCAGCAGUGAAACAAGGAAUUCUGGCACUAUUUUGUCAUUAUACCUGUUAUUUCUUAGUAAUAGACUGCCAUCAUUUAUGACAUUUCCAUAUGUUGCCAUCCAUGUCUGUAUUUCACCUUAUCUAAAUAUCAGACUGUUACCAUGGUUACUCCAUGGCUAUCAGUCUGAAAGAAGUCGCUGUAAAAAAGACGCAAUAGUCUCUACCAGACAGAAUGUUGAAUAAAAUGAUAUUUAAACGUACUUUACCGGUUGUCUUUUUGGCGGUUGGAAGUGGAGAUAAAAUGGCCACAGGAAAGUACUAUUAGCCCAACUUUCUGGGGCGCCGGUAGGUAUAUGGCUAUGUCGGCUUGUAAUUCUGGUGAGUAUUUUCAAUCAAGUGAUGCAUUUCAUGUGAAGCACAAUAUGUAAACAACAGCCGAAUGUAACCAAACGUUGUCAACCGAAGCACGUUUCCUCGUAAUCAGCUGGAAGUGUUUGCCGUUCGGUCUGUGGUUAGGUUCAGACAAAUUGUUUAAGUGUUUGUCUCGUGCAAAUUGAGUCAGUAUUGAAAAUACAAACCGGAAAUAUACAGACCAGCGUACUGAAGGUCGGGUUGAUAACGUCCCCCUAUGGAUAUGUUGUAUAAGAUUACCUCCGACAUAGGAAAAAAAUCAUUGGACAACAGGUAAAGUGAGUUGAAAUGAAGUGUUCUCAACAUUUUGACUUGUAAUGUGACUGUUCGGGAAUGCUGAGCCAACAUGUUAGAGACGAGUAUGUAAGUAUUUCACUCUCAGAUUCUAAGAGGCUAUAUUUCACCAUAUCACCGCCAGAGCAAAGGUUCAUAAAUAAAGGGUUGGAUUUAAAGGAGUCCUGUUACUAUGGUAGACAACAGGGAAGUAUAUGGGUUUGCCCGGUGGGCAAGAGUAGUAAGGGUGAGGGAUUGAAACGUGUGUGUGGCUGUGUGUGUCGGAGCCCCACUAGCAGUGGUCAGGGUGGUACAGUAGUGUGGUAGUCUCAGGUAGCUCAGGCACCAACAGGUCUGCUCCUGAGGGGGGCGCUCAUGUCCCAGGAAUCAGGACUAUAGGAGAGAGGAGACAGUUCAUUGUUUAAAGCAGGGAUGGGCAACUUUGAUGGGGAUGGGGCCACACAAAAUCUGAACUCAUCAUGAGGGGCCGCAGUUGCCCCCCCAGGCUCUAAUUCUACCUUGAUUACUACAAGCCUAGAUCGGGCUGCUAGACUAACUUACCAAUCUAAAACAUGUUAGCUAACAUGGCUAAUUGAGUGACGGUCAGUGACUGACAUAAUAAGAUGAAAACUGUUGAUGCACAACAACCACAUUUCGAAAUUGCACCUUGUGUAUUCUAUUAUUCUACCUUGCAACAGUAAGUUGAGACGCCGACUGAGUUCCCUCCCCCCCGCGAAAUGAUCCGAGGGCCUUCAAAUGGGGGGGCCGCCA
RNAcentral lists this long non-coding RNA (7168 nucleotides) under Salmo salar (Atlantic salmon). RNAcentral's name for it is "lncRNA (ENSSSAG00000115986.1)". The record is from RNAcentral. Lineage: Eukaryota; Metazoa; Chordata; Actinopteri; Salmoniformes; Salmonidae.